GGGGAUUUAGCUCAGUGGUAGAGCACUUGCCUAGCAAAACGCAAGGCCCUGGGUUCGGUCCCCAGCUCCG
Rattus norvegicus (Norway rat) is the source of this 70-nucleotide non-coding RNA. The record is from Rfam. Lineage: Eukaryota; Metazoa; Chordata; Mammalia; Rodentia; Muridae.